UUGUACGUUGGAAAUUUAUAUUUAUUAAAUAAAAGUUAAAAAGAAACAGUGGAUGAAAGAAUGUCUGUCUCUGUCUCUCUCUCUCUCUCUCUCUCUCUCUCUGUCUCUCUCUAUAUAUAUAUCUCACUUUCUGUAACUCUGCCUUUCUUUCAAAUAAAUGAAAUAAAUAUUUAAAACAAAAAAUUCCAGAACCAUGUUGCUGAAUCUGUGGGAGUUGAAAAAGAGCCUUUGAAGCAAACAACAAGGUUGAAUUAGACCUCUGAUUGGAGAGCUGAAGUAAUGGAUUCAAAAAUUGGUACCAGGAGUGGGAGAUUCAAGAUGACCAAGUAGAGAAAUGCAGUGUUUACCUGCUCCUCCACUAAGAUACUCCAAAGCAGCUAUGUCAAGGUGUGCAACAGAUGGGACUAGAGUUCCAGCCUAGAAUUACAUCUGGCUCUCUUACAUGGGUGGCAAGGACCCAGGAAAUCAAAUACUUGGACCAUCAUCUGCUGCCUUCCCCGGAGCAUUAGAAGGAAGUCAGAUGAGAAGAAGAGUAGCCACCACUGGAAACAGUAUUCUGAAAUGGAGUGUGGAUGCCCAAAGCACCAGCUUAACCAAUUGUGCCACAAUGGGCACCCCAGAACUUUUAUAUAUACUAGGAAAACUUAAUUGAAGCCUUACUGCUCAUAGGAGAUUUAGUGCGAGAGAGAGACAGAGAGAAAGGUCUUCCUUCUGCUGGUUCACCCCCAAAUGGCCACUAUGGCUGGCUUGCUGCGCCAAUCCGAAGCCAGGAGCCAGGUGCUUCCUCCUGGUCUCCCAUGCGGGUUCAGGGCCUAGCGCUUGGGCCAUCCUCCACUGUCUUCCCGGGCCACAGCAGAGUGCUGGACUGGAAGAGGAGCAACCGGGACAGAAUCCAGCACCUCAACUGGGACUAGAAGCCUGGGUACUGGCACCUCAGGCAGAUGAUUACCGGCCUACUUUCAUUCUUUAAGUGGAUUUGUUCCUGAGAGGAGGAGUGUGGUGGGGGCAAGAGGCGCGGAGUCACCACACAGACCCCGGAAGCUGGGUGAAAGUGGGCCAGAGGCGAGCAGCCUGCAGACUCGUUUAUGUCAGUUGGUACAACAGCUUAUAUAGCCAAGACAGCCAAUCUGGUCAAGGGGCGGUUUAUGCCCUAUCCAAUCACAGCCUGUUGCCAGGCAGGCUCUGAAGCCAUCCAAUCACAGCCUGUUGCCAGGCAGGCUCCGUUGUCAGAAUCAACAUUCCUAGGGAGAGAAUAACAAUAAUUAACAUUUUAAUUAAAUAUCUUCCUUCAAGAAAGGCAAAUUCACAUAGGAUCAUGCCAAACAGAUAAACAGAUUUCUAGGAAGCUGAAAUGUCUGCCGAGCUCCCUAUGCCAUCUACUAUGACUGAAUAGUGAGAAGCUGCACUGAUCUCAGAAAGAUAACAGAAAAACAAAAGAAGGACCAUUUUCCCGGGGACAGACUGACAGACGCUUUCAGCGGAGAAGUGACAGAACAGAACAAAGACUCUGGGGCAGAGAGGAAACAGGACAAACCCACUGACAUGGCCAGCCAAGCCACUAGCCAGCACUGCAUCCAUUCAGCUGCUGUCAUCUGGGAUAUGCCAUCUUCCCCAGACAAGGAAGAGUAAUUUUGCAAACUAUCUGGCAAUGAAAAGGCUUCCCUUCCCUUGUUUAAUGGAGUGUUAAACCCAGUCUGAGUUGGAGGUUUUGAAAAAGAUAAAUUCUCCAUGCAAAAUAAAAAAAGGGAGAUUGGCUCAAUUUUUGGUGAGGAAAAUGAUUAACUCGUUUGUUGAGUCAGUGUUUCAUCAGGCAUGUCUUGAGUAUCUGCUCUAGACAGGGAUUGCUGAAAUGAAUAAUUAUGAAGGCCUUCCUCCUAAAAAUUUAUUUUAGCAGGUCUUUUCUUUGUUCUGUAAUGCUUCCUAGCCUAAAUGCAUAUAAAUGCAUGACUUCUAGGGUAAGAUAUAAGUGUGGUGCAAAAAUGGAAUAGGAUGUUAUGAUAAGGCAAUUGUGCGCCCAGGGUUCAACUACCCCACAUUUACCUGGUAUGAUCUAUUUGUAAACAAAUAAUUUAUCAAAGCAUGUCAGGUCUAAAGACAAACCUAAAAAGAUUAUGGAAUUAAAAUUUGAGUAAUUUACUAAGAAAUAAAAAAAUAAUGUUUUUUAAAAGUCUUCUCUCCCCAGAAUGCUAAGACUUAUACACCCUUUACACUUCCAUCUCCCUCUUCACCUGCCUUCCCUCAGUUCCUUUCACUGACCUAGUCACAAACACUACCCUAACUUCUGUGAGCAGGACUAUACAUUGUUAUCAAUCUCACAAUGUAGAGAGAAUUGAACAUCACUAAAACUGUAAAAUGCUAGAAAAACAAGUGGAUUUGCCAGAGGAAGUGAUUAUAGUUGGAGUGAUCACUGAACACAGGAAAUUGGGCUCCUUAGAGGCAUUAUACCUCUCUAAUCUACCUUCUAAGGAGAACUUUUAGGAAACUCCUAUGAUUUUAUUUUGCUACAUGGAAUAUGAAAAUAUGGGGACAUAUAUCGAUUCUUGAGAGCUACAGGGUGAUUGUAUACUUCUGUGAGAUCUUAGAGACUACCCAACAAAUUUCUGAAAAUAAAGUAGUCACUACUUUGACUAGCACUUACUUGGUUGCAGGAAGUUUCCUAAGUUUUCACAUGUAUUUAUCCUUUUUACCAUUACAACUAAUCUAUAAGAUAUGGGCUGUUAUUAUACUCCCAUUUUACAGAUGAGAAAACUGAAGCCCAUGUAACUUGUCCAUGGUAGUAAAUGCAAUCACAAAACAUAAGCUUAGUAUAUCUGACUCAAGUGUCUGGGCUCCUAACUAUCCAUUAAUUUGGUCAUAAAUGUUGCCAGAUAUUUAUGAAAUGUUAACUUAAAUAGGCAGCCACCUUUGAAGCCUAUUCUAAAUAUCAAUUUUUGCUUAUUCCAUAAGUAUGAGCUGGGGUCUCCUUUUCUUGAUAUGUAUUUCUUGGAACAUUUUGGGCCAUAUUUAUUAACAUAUAUUUUUAAUUGCUAUU
Non-coding RNA from Oryctolagus cuniculus (rabbit), 3031 nucleotides. Lineage: Eukaryota; Metazoa; Chordata; Mammalia; Lagomorpha; Leporidae. The record is from RefSeq and is a predicted model, not a curated record.